Molecule: long non-coding RNA, 9369 nt
Organism: Homo sapiens (human)
Lineage: Eukaryota; Metazoa; Chordata; Mammalia; Primates; Hominidae
Exons: 5
Source: RefSeq, a predicted model, not a curated record
GACAGAGCUAGUGUGAGUGAGCUGCUGCUAAGAGAGUUACUGAAUAAAACAACCUUUCACCUGCCUACAGCCCCCGCAGCGUUCUUUCAGCUAUCUGCUCGUCCAUCCACUCGCUUCGGACCUCAGCAUGAGCUGGAACCUGACUCCAAACAGGACAGAGAGUAGUACCAUUGUUCAUUUUCACCACGAGGAUUUCAUCUCAAGAAAACAUUUUCUUUGCUCAUCCAUAAGAAGCAACUCUUCAUCAAUUCAAGUUUUAUGAUGAGAUUGAAGUAUUCAGACACAUCUUCAGGAUAAUUCUAGUUCUCUUGCUAUUUCUACAUCUGCAGGUAUUUCCUCUACUGAAGUUUUGGAUCCCUCAAAGUCACCCAUGAAGGUUGGAAUCAACUUCUUCCAAACUCCUGUUCGUGUUGGUAUUUGACCCCCUCUCAUGAAUCAUGAAUGUUCUUAAUGGAAUUUAGAAUGGUGGAUCCUUUUCAGAAGGUUUUCAAUUUACUUUGCCCAGGUCUAUCAGAGAAAUCACUAUCCAUGACAGCUAUAGCCUUAUUAAAUCUUAUUUCUUAAAUAAUAAGACUUGAAAGUCUGAAUUAAUCCUUGGUCAUGGGCUGCAGAAUGAAUGCUGUGUUAGCAGGCAUGAAAAUAUUAAUCUUGUUUUACAUCUCCAUCAGAGCUCUUGGGUAACUAGGUGCACUGUCAAUGAGCAGUAAUGUUUUGAAAGGAAUCUUUUUUUCUGAGCAGUAGGUCUCAACAGUGGGCUUAAAAUAUUUAGUAAACCAUGCUAUAAACAGAUAUGCUGUCAUCCAGGCUUUGUUGUUCUACUUGUAGAACACAGUCAGAGUAGAUUUAGCAUAAUUCUUAAGGGCACAAGGAUUUCUGGAAUGGUGAAUGAGCAUUGGCUUCAACUUAAUGUCACCAGCUGCAACAGCCCCUAACAAAAGAGUCAGUCUUUACUUUGAAGACAGGUAUCAACUUCUCCUCUCUACCCAUUAAAGUCCUAGAUGGCAUCUUCUUCCAUUUUAGGCUAGAUGCCUAAAAUCAACAGAAGGCUCUUUUGUCUAUAUUGAAAAUCUAUUGUUUAGUGUAGCCACCUUCUUCAAUGAUCUUAGAUUUUCUGGAUAACUUGCUGCAGCUUCUGUAUUCGCACUUGAUGUUUCACCUUACACUUUUAUGUUAUGGAGAUGUCUUCUUUCCUUAUACCUCAUGAACAACCUCUUAUUUUCAAACUUUACUUCCACAGCUUCCUCUCUGCUCUGUCUUCAUAGAAUUGGAGACAGCUAUGGCUGUGUUCUGAAUUAGGAUUUUGCUUAAGGAAAUGUUGCAGUUGGUUUGAUCUUCUAUCCAGACCAUUAAAACUUUCUCCAUAUCAGCAAUAAGGCUAUUUUGCUUUCCUAUCGUUUGUGUGUUCACUGGAGCAGCAUUUUAAAUAUCCUCCAGGCACUUUUCUUUUGCAUUCACAACUUGGCUAACUGGUGCAAGAGGCCUAGUUUUUGGACUAUCUCAGCUUUCAACAUGGCUUCCUCACUAAGCUUAAUCAUUUCUAGCUUUCAAUUUAAAAUGAGAGAUAUGUGAAUCUUCUUUUCACUCUAACACGUAAGAGACCAAUGUAGGAUUAUUAAUUGGCCUUAUUUAAAAAUUUCUGUGUCCCAGGGAAUAAAGAGGGCUGAGGAGAGGGAGAGAGACAGCAGAAGGACCAAUGAGUGUAACAGUCCACAUGCACGCACACAUGCAUGCACACACACACAAUUUAUCAUUUAAGUUCAUCCUCUCAUACGGGUGUAGUCUGUGAUGCCCCCAAACAAUUACAAUAGUAUCAUCAAAUACCACUGAACCCUGUAACAGAUAUUCUAAUAAUAAAAAAGUUUGAAAUAUUGCAAGAAUUACCAAAAUGUGACACAGAGACAUGAAAUUAGCACACAAUGUUGGAAAAAUGGCACUGUGAGACUUGCUUGAUGCUGGGUUGCCACAAACCUUCAAUUUAUUAAAAAAACACAGUAUCUGCAAAGUACAAUAAGAUGAGGGUAUACCUGUAUAUUCAUCAGAAAUAUUGGUCUUCAGCUUGUUUUGUUUUCCCUUGUUAUGUCUGUCUGGCUUUGGUAUCAGGCUAAUGCUGGCUUCAUAGAAUAAAUUGAGAAAUGUUCCCUCUUCUUUUUGUAAGAGUUUGUGAAUGAUUGUUGUUAAUUCUUCUUUAAACGUUUAGUAGAUGUAUUAGGUUGAAUAGUGUAUCCGAAUUUCAUCUAUUCAGAAUAUCAGCAUGAGACUCAAUUUAGAAAUAUGAUUUAUAUUAAUUUCCUGGGGCUGUUGUAACAAAGUACUAUAAAUUGAGUGGUUUAAACCACAAUAAUUUUUGACUGUUUUGGAGGUUAGAUGCCUAAAAUCAAGGUGUUGGCAGGGUUGGUUCUUUCUGAGGAUUGUGAGGGGUUAUCUGCUUCAUGCCUCUCCUAGGUUGUGGUAGAUUCAGACACCCUUUGGUUUGUGGAUGGUGUUUCUCUGUAUCUGCACAUCAUCUUCCUUCUCUAUGUGUCUGUGUCAUUUCCCCUUUUAAUAAGGCCAUCAGUCAUACUGGGCUAGGGUUCACCGUAAUGAUCUCAUUUUAAUUUGCUUACCUCUGUAAAGACCCGACUUCCAAAUAAUGUCACAUUCUGACGUAUUAGUGGGUAGGACUAAACAUGUCUUUCUUACCUGUGGACACAAUUCGACUCACUGCGGAGUCUAUGCAGAUCCAGUUAAGAUAAGGUCAUAAUGGAUUAAAGUGGGCUAUAAAUUCAAUGUAACUAGUGUCCUUAUAAGAGGAGGCAGAGAAGAAAGACACAAAAACAUGCAGAGAGUAAUGCCAAGUGAAGACAAUGGCAGAGAUUGGAGUGAGGCAUCUGACAAGCCAAGAAUUACCAGCAACCACAGAAUGGAGAAAAUAAGAGUCUCCUUCAGAGCCUCCACUCUCUAUCUUCUCUCCUUCCAGGUCAAUGCAUGUAUUUGAUCAUCAAGGCUGUUUUUUUUUUUUUAAUCCCUUUAUCUUUUUUCUCUGUGGUUCAGUUUGGACAUUUUUUAUUGACCUGUGCUCAAGUUCACUGAUCCUUUCUUGUGUGUGUCCAAUUUGCUGUAAAUCCCAAUGAGUUUUUGAUUUUAGAUACUUUUUUGGUUUUAGGAUUUUUUUCCCCGUUUUCAGACCUCUUCUGAAACUUCCCAUUAUUAUACUUAUUAUAUCCACAUUUCUCUGUAUACAUUUUUAAAACACUGAUACUUAUUUUGAAGAAUUUGUCUGCCAAUUCCAACAUCUAGGUCACUAGUGGGUCUGCUUUUUAUUGACUAUUUUCAAAAAUAAUCAAUAAAAUAGCCACUUUAUUAGAUGUGGUCAAUUUCCAUUUUGUAGUUGGCUCUAGAAACAGCCCUAAGGUCUUAGAAAUGGUCUUAAUUUCUACACAUGCCCUUCUUGGAUCUCACCAUAAAGUUAACAGUGUUUACCAAGCCCCUCCAAAUUUGAACUUCGACCUCUGUGUUUGUGGUGCUGGGCAACUGCUGAGACUGCUGCUUAGAUCUUUCUGCCUUCCGGUGGUUGUUUUUCUCUGACCUUCCUGGAGUUUCAUCCUGUGCACACUAUUUAAUCAGCCAACCAUCUGAGGGAAGUUUGUAUGUAGAUUUGGGGACUUCUUUUUCUGACUCCUUGCAGUCUAGGAUUUCCUUCCUCAAUUUCCAGCCUCUGUUUGCUCUCAAAUAAGAUCUGACUCCUCAGCCUAAUAUUAUUCGUCACCAUCUGCAUGAACUCUACCUUCAGUGUGCUGAGUGCAUGGUGGAUGCUCUCUGGGGAAAAGCUGAGAUCCUAUCCAGUGAACACACCUUUUUAACAGGGGUCAAAUGCCCUACAGUUUCUGUUCACUCACCUGGGGCAUCACUCUUUAAAUAAUAUUUUGUUCCAAAUUAUUAAGUUACUAAGCUUUAGUCUGAUACAAGCUAGUCUCGCACUGCCAGAAGCUAGAAUUAAUUUUUUUAAUAUUCACACAUGAUGGCUUACUUACUCUUUUUGAUAGUAAUUUCGUAUCUGAAUUUAGUUAGUGGGAGUAUGGGGGUGGGGAUUGACAGGUUUUUUUUUUUUUCCCCCCAAAGGACUUUAUUCUUUUUUUUUUUUUAGAGAGUCUCGCUCUUUUGUCCAGGCUGGAGUGCAGUGUCGCGACCUCGGCUCACUGCAACCUCCGCCUCCCAGAUUCAAGUAAUUCUCAUGCCUCAGCCCCCCAAGUAGAUAGGACUACAGGUGGGCGCCACCACACUGGAUAAUUUUUGUAUUUUAGUAGAGAUGGGAUUUCGCCAUGUUAGCCAGGCUGGUCUCAAACCCUGGCCACAAGUGAUCCACUCACCUUGGCCUCCCGAAGUGCUGGGAUUAAAGGUGUGAGCCAUGUGCCCUGCCAAGACUUGUUUUAUUCUGAUGGUUUUCAGGAAGUGGUAUAAAUCUAAGAUUCACUUUAUUUUCUUGAUCUGCAGACUUCAUGAAUGUGGCAUUAAAUCCCUGAUCUCUGUGAAAGGAGGCCUAUGAUUACAGAGGCAGCACCAUCAUCUCAUUUACUACCUGGAAAAGGGGCAAAGUCAGUCAGAUUACCCUUUGGUUUCCUUUUCAAGAGGCUGACUUCCCUAUCCACCCUUCACUUGUAGGUGUUAACACCUGUUAAUAUUCCAACUGAAGAUGCAGGGAUUUUUGGCUGGUUGUUUUUGUUGAGACAGAGUCUCACUCUUUCGCCCAGGCUGGAGUGUAGUGGUGUGGUCUCGACUCACUGCAACCUCUGCCUACAACCUCUGCCUCCCGGGUUCAAGCGAUUCUCCUGUCUCAGCCUCCUGAGUAGCUGGGAUUAUGGGCGUGCGCCACCACGCCCAGCUAAUUUUUGCAUUUUUAGUAGAAAUGGGGUUUCACCAUGUUGGCCAUGUGAAGUUCGAACUCCUGACCUCGGGUGAUCUACACACCUCGGCCUCCCAAACUGCUGGAAUUACAAGCGUGAGCCACCAUACCCAGCUGUUAUCUUUGGUUUAAUUCCCCAACUUUGUUCAGGCCCAAGGCCUAAGCUCCCGUUCCCCAAACUCUAGGCAUUAUACUUUGUUCUUAGAAGAGGAAGGGCUUUCAUAUAUAAGAGUUACAAUUAUCACCCAAGUUCAUGUUUAUCAUUUUUCAAAUCUGGCAUUUAGGAAUUUUCCAUAUUUUCUGCUGAGUUCAGCAUUCCACUUUGAAGUACAUUUGCGGUAACUUAUUCAGCCUUUGGGUGUUUUGUAGCAGUGCAGGACUUUUCAGAAAACCUUGAUGCCAGCAGGGUGAAUACCUUCAUCACUUUCCCCAGCACUUUACUGAGGCAUAAUUUACAUACAGUAAAAUGCAUAUAUCCCAAGUAUACAGCUCACUAUAUUUUAAAAUAUAUACACACAUACAUAUAUAUGUGUAUGUUACCACUACUGCAAUUGAGAUAUAGAACAUUCCAUCAUUCCAGAAAGUUCUCCUAUGCUCUUCUUCAGUCUAUACUUACCCCCAAAGAUAACCAUUCCAUAUUUGUUUUUGAGCUUUAUAAAUGGAAUAUGUCUAGCUUUUUUUGUUCGUUUUUAAGAUUUAUCUACAUUGUUUUGCCAGUAUAUCAUUAUUAUUUUUAGAGACAAGGUCUCAAUCUGUCACUUAGGCUGGAGAGCAGUGGCAUGAUCACAACUCACUGCAGCCUUGAACUCUUGGGCUCAAGGGAUCCUCCCACUUCAGCCUGCUGAGUAGGUGGGACUACAGGCGCCUACCACCAUGCCCAGCUGAUUUUUAAAUUUUUCUGUCGAGAUGGUGUCUUGCCAUCUUGCCCAGGAUAGUCUUGAACUCCUGGGCUCAAGUGAUCCUGCCUUGGCCUCCCAAAUUGUUAGGAUCACAGGUGUUAGCUAUUAAGCCCAGCCCAUUCUUUCAAUUGCAGACUAGUAUCCAAUGUAUAAACAUACCAUUACUUGAUUAUCUAUUAGCUUGUUGGUGGAUAUUUGGGUAGUUUUCAGAUUGGGAAUAUUAUAAAUAAAAUUGCUAUUCUUGUACAAGUCUUAUUGUAAAAACAUACCCUCAUUUAUCUUGGGUAGAUCUUUAGAAGUGGAGUCACUAAGUCACAGGGUAGGCAUUAUGUUUAUCUUUAUAAGCAACCGGCAAACUGUUUCCUGAGGUGAUUAAACCAUCUUGGAUUUCUAUCAGUUCCACAUUCUCACCAUUUGGCGGGUAUGCAGUGGUAUUUCCUUGUGGUUUCAUUCUACAUUCCCUGAUGGCUGAUGUUUGAGUGCCAUUUCCUAUGCUACUCCUGCAUCUGGAGAGCUUCUGUGAAGUAUGUAUUCAACUCACUCAUUGUUAAACUGGGUUGCUGUUACAAUGGUUUUAAAAUGUUCUUUGCUUUCCUUUGGUUCCGUGUAUUGUGAUUAUUUUCUCUUAGGCCGUGGCUUGCCUUUUCACUUUAAAAGUAUCUUUUUGAUGAGAAGUAUCUAAUUUUGAUGAAAUCUGUCAGUUUUUUUGUUUAACCUUCCUGAGAUGUCUUCGCCUAAGAUAUCCUUGUCUACCCCAAUGUCAUGAAGAUAGUCGGUUUCCUUUUACAAGAUUUAUUGUUUUGCCAUUCACAUUUAGUUCUAUAAUCCAUUUUGAAUAAACUGUGCAUGGUAUGAAGAAGGCAUUAUUAACAUUGCUUUUUCCCAGACAUCCAGUUACUUCAACUCCAACUGAAAAAUCUUCCCUUUUUCUAUUGAAUAGCUUGUUUUUGUUGAAAAGCCAAUAACCAUAUACAUGUGGGUCUAUUUCUGGACAUGUCUAUUUCUAUUUGUUGUUUAUCCUAACUCUAGUACCAUACUCUCUUAACUGUUGUAGCUUUAGAGCAAGUCUUGACAUUGGGUAGUACAAGUGCUCCAAUUUUAUUUUUCUUCUUCAAAAUUAUCUUGGCUACUUAGAAUCUGUUGCAUUUUCAUAUAUGUAUUUGCCAAUUUCUACAAGAUGGCCUUGUGGGAUUUUGAUCUCAUUGAAUCUAGAUAACAAUUUGUGGGGAACUGACAUCUUACCAUUAUGCAGUCUUUCAAUCCAUGAGCAUAGAAUAGCCAUUUAUUUUGGUGCUCUAUAAUUCUUCCCAGCACUGUUUUGUAGUUUUCAGAGUAGAGGUCUUGUUGUUAACUUUCUUCCUACUUAGAAGUUUGACUUAUUUGAUGCUAUUACAAAUGGCAUAUUUUAACGUUAUAUUUUCAAGUGUUUGUUGCUAGGAUAUAGAUACACAACUGAAUUUCAUAUAUUUGCCUCAUAUUCUGCAAAAUUAUCAGUCCUGGUAGAUUAUCAAGCAAAUGCUUGGCAAUCUUCAGGAAAUCAGAGAAUGGAGAAAAUGUCAUCUAAUUAGAAACAGAUCUAAUUUUCCAAAUGGCUUAAAAAGUGACUCAUUCUUUGUAUACAACCCCUCACAGUUAUGACCUCAGAAACACUACCUUCUAAGUUUCUUUUUUCUUUGAAGAACAGGUAACUAUAGAGUUAAAUUUGCUCUUGGUAUACUUCUUGGAAGAUGAGAAGAGCAUCAAAUCCUUACAAAGAGGAACCUCUGUUUCUCAGCUAAAUGUAGAAUGGGAGCAAUGAGGACAUGGCCUGCACGAUGUCCUCCAUCUGCAGAAUGGAUGAAUAUUCCCAAUGUUCAAUGGCAGCACUAUUUCUCAAGAAUGCCAAUGAAGAUAGAUAUAUUAAAAUAGACCUUGACUGGGGUGGGGUGAAUAGAUUUGUGAGAUUCAAAUUAUCCUUAAUUGUCACAUUUAUGAAUUCUUCACUGGUUAAAUAAUAAUCCCACUUUUUCAUCCUUCAUUUUUUCUUUUUUUUUAAGAUACAUGGUUUCUUCUCUGUUGCCCAGGCUGGAGUGCAGUGGCACCAUCAUAGCUCACUGCAACCUCAAACUCCUGCCCUCAAGUGGUCCUAUCGUCUCACCUUCCCAAAAUGCUAAAAUUACAGACCCAGCAACUCUUCAACCCCCCUUUGGAAGUAGCAACUUAGCUGUACCUGACUGCCACUUUAAAACUACUAUUUUUGACAUUAGGAAUUGAAAAUAAUUGUGAAUGCACCCAUUCUUGGAAAACCAGGCAAGAGGUUUCCCUGGACCCUUGAAGCAUGAGAAGAGAUCUAUGAAAGGCUAAAUUACUGUUGCUAGCAAAGGAAGGCUCACAUGGGUGAAGCUGUGAUCAGAAGCAUAAGAUCCCUGGGCUGCACUAUGGAUCAGGGUCAACAAAGGUACAGCCUUGUAUUUCUAAUGCAAAACAACGCUAACCUGGAGAAAUUAUAUAGAAGAAAUUCUUGAAUUCAUCCAUCCACACUUCUGCAAGUCGUCUGUUAUUUUUAUUGAUAAUCUGCCCUGUGCCUCCUGGAAACGUGUAAGGUGUAGCUUUCCGAAACACAUGUCCAACAUGUGAGCAUGUAACAAUUUCCAAAGUUCCUCCACACUGCCAAAUCUGAAAACAGCAGAGAUGACCAUGUAACAUGUAGCUGAGUAAUCAGGAAAUGUUCACCUUAGUUUUCCCAUAGUAUUUUUCUUUUCAAUUAAAUAGGGGUUUGGCUUUUGUUUAAACUUAAAUGGAACAUAUUGUAGUUACUGGUAAAAAGCUUCCAAAGUACCUCCAUACUACCAAAUCUGAAAAUAACAGCAAAGACCAUAUAUGACAUUGAUAGUUUUUAAAAAAGUAUUGACAUCUAUUGGGUUCCACAGUUGGAAUUUCGCAAAAUCAGGGGCACAUGAUGGGCUCCGGCUGUAUGGUUAGGUUACAAAGCCAGUGCUUCCUCAAGAGAAACAUUUCUCUAAUUUGGGUUCUGAUCAAACCAAAAGUUGAAGAUUAAAAUAAAGAAAACAUAGGUUAAAGGCUAAAUACAGAAAAGAUAUGGGAUCUAGAGCAGUAUUUUUCUAACUGCAGGCCAUUAUACCUAAGAGAAUCAUAAAUUCAAAUUGAUGAAUUGCAACCUGUACUUGUUAACAAGGACAUACUGUUUCAUAAAAUGUUUAAAUUUUAUGUUUUGUGUGUGCAGAAUGUAUAAUGUAUUUAUUAAUGUGGCUCAUGGUUAAAAACAACCACCAAACAAAACCUGACCAUGGAGUAACCAGCCAGAUGCUCAUCUGUUCACCCCUCUCCAAACCUGCGUCACGGCUUGUACAUGAAACAGAACCUAGGAAUCUCAACUAGAUCCAUUGUAAGUUCUUCAGUGAGACAGUAAAAGCAUGUUUUGUUGUCUUUGUUAGAACAAUAAAAACAAAAAAAGGGGCAGAAGAAAGAUGAUCAAGUAUGGGCUUACAUCCUUAAUUUAAUGAAAUCCUUCUGUUUCUUUCAAAAUACAUUCCCCCCACCAAGUUAAAAAUCUCAUAACUCUUUAUAAUUAAAAUAACAUUUUGGAAAGUU